This 500-nucleotide ribosomal RNA is filed under the name uncultured bacterium. RNAcentral's name for it is "partial 16S ribosomal RNA". It matches the Rfam family "Bacterial small subunit ribosomal RNA", at positions 30 to 523 of the family's 1533-position model. The record is from RNAcentral.
AUUGAACGCUGGCGGAAUGCUUUACACAUGCAAGUCAAACGGCAGCACGGACUUCGGUCUGGUGGCGAGUGGCGAACGGGUGAGUAAUGUAUCGGAACGUGCCCAGUCGUGGGGGAUAACGUAGUGAAAAUUACGCUAAUACCGCAUACGAUCUAUGGAUGAAAGCGGGGGAUCGCAAGACCUCGCGCGAUUGGAGCGGCCGAUAUCAGAUUAGGUAGUUGGUGGGGUAAAGGCCCACCAAGCCAACGAUCUGUAGCUGGUCUGAGAGGACGACCAGCCACACUGGAACUGAGACACGGUCCAGACUCCUACGGGAGGCAGCAGUGGGGAAUUUUGGACAAUGGGCGAAAGCCUGAUCCAGCCAUUCCGCGUGCAGGAUGAAGGCCCUCGGGUUGUAAACUGCUUUUGUACAGAACGAAAAGGUUUCCACUAAUACUAGGAGCUCAUGACGGUACUGUAAGAAUAAGCACCGGCUAACUACGUGCCAGCAGCCGCCGUAA